Molecule: long non-coding RNA, 2629 nt
Filed under: Chinchilla lanigera (long-tailed chinchilla)
Lineage: Eukaryota; Metazoa; Chordata; Mammalia; Rodentia; Chinchillidae
Description: lncRNA (ENSCLAG00000028919.1)
Source: RNAcentral
CGGGACACGGAGGCGGGGACUCGGGGCGCUUGGGGAGGCCCCGCCUGCGCCCCGCCUCUCCGCCCGGAAGUGGGGUCGGUGGGCCACUCCCCUGCGCGCCCAGGACAGGCCCCGCCCGCGCCCCGGAGCUGCUCUGCUGCUUGCAGAUCUGCUGAAGACGCGGCUCCCUGCGCCUGUGGGCCCCCAUCCCCGGGCUGCGGGGGGACUGGGCCACCGGAGAAGUCACGCCCUGCGCGGAAGCCACGGGGCUGCGCGCGGAGCGCCUGGGAAAGACACUUGGGGCCGGGCAUGGUGGGAGGCUGAGGCAGGAGGAUCUUUGCGAGCCCGAGACCAGCCUGGGCUACAAAGUGAGCUCAACGCCAGCCUGAACUGCAUAGCAAGACCCUGCCUCAAACACACACACACACACACACACACACACACACACUCUAGAAAGACACCUAGAGAGGUUCCGCCUCCCUGCCUGGACUCUUGGGUGCGGUCUCCUUUCGGCUCCGCCUGGGCCCGCGGGUGGGAGGCGGGUGCAGCCGGGACGCGGUUCACAGCAAGAUUCUUCUGGGAACUGGGAAAUCUGCUCCUCAGUGGAUCCAUCAUGGAUGAGCUCCCGGCUGAAUGUGCUGUAGGAGGCAGGGCCUGGUGGAGGCGGUCACUGGGUGUGACCUGGAAGGUGAGUUCUUGUCCCCGGCUCCUCCCUUCUCUCUCUGCUUCCCGGCGACCAUGAUGUGAGCGUCUUUCCUCCUCCUGCGUAUCCGCCAUGAUGCUCCUGCCUUGGAGCAGCUAACCAUGGACUGCACCCUCUGCAACCAUCAGCCUAAUGAACCUGUUUUCCUUUAAACUGUUGGCUAUUUGUGGUAUUUUUUCCUGCACAAUAGAAAAGUAACUGAGACAUCCGUGAAAGCAAUGAACAUACCAGACAUUGCAGACCUCCCAAAGGGCUGGAGCAAGCCAUCUUUUAUCUCUUCAUGCAUGAGCCACUUUGAUGACAACAAGGUCGUGGUUUUCCCAGCUGUAUUUCCACACACCCAUCCACUGAAAUGUUGGCGUUUCUCUCUUAUCCACUGGAAAUAAGUCCCAUGAAUAUAGCGAAAUCCUUUAUAGAAAGCAUGGCUCCUCUACGGGUGCACCUGCGACUGACUUUAGCUUACACAUCAGUAAGAGAUUAGUGACAAUAACCAAUAAUAGAAUAGAACAGUGCUAAUGAUACACUGUACUCAAUGGUAUGUAGAUACGAUUUAUCCCUGUUUUUCAAGAAUAAAUGCUGCACAAAUAUGACUUCUCACUCUUGGUUCAGUUUUCCUUUUUUUCAAUUUUCUUUUUUUUCCCCUCCAUUUCUGUUUUUUCAUUUUCUUUCUUUCCCGGUUUUCAUUUUUAAACUUUUAUUUAUGUCAGUCGUCCUUUGCAGCAGGUAAGGAUUGCAUUUCUCGUGAGGAGAGGGUGCCGGGACAGGACACAUCCUGCUUCCUUCCCAGCCCUUUCUUCUUCUCCCUCCAUAUUGAUCUCCUUCCCUUUUGCCAGAAAUCUAUGUUUCUCUAUCUGGUUACCUAUAUUUUAAUUUGCUCUUUACUUAUAUUUCUUGUUCCUCAUGUGGUACUGAAGCUUGUGUGUCAGAUGGAUUUCACUUCAUGGUAUGCUCUCAAGGUGCAUCCACUGUCCUACACAUGCCAGAAGUUCAUCCUUGUUCCUGGCUAUGUAAUACUCCGCUGUGGGUAAUUCUGAUAGUAACAACCUCAGUGUAAUUUUUUUCCUUAUUAAGAAAUUAAAAGAAAAGAAAUUCAGAACAUUCACUUUUUCACUUCAAGGACACGCAUUGUGGCUUCUCUUUAGAGUAUCUGAAUUGUCAGCAUUGUGACUCAGGUUUUAGGCUAUGAUUAUCACCAGUCAGGGAUCCUUGGACAUGAAUCCUCUGAUAUCAUGGAGUCAAUCUGAUAACCAAUUAAUUAGCCUGUGACUAAUGGGUGGGUAGCACACCCGACGUGGAUGAACUAGUAGCAUCAAGUGUUCAUCCACGAGCAACUGGGGGAUAAAUGUGCCUCAUCUCCUGCUUUCUCUUUUAUUAUUUUCCUCCUCCACCCCUCCUCCUUUCCUUUCUCUUUCUUCCUCCUAUUUUUGUACUCCUCACAGUUGAACUCACUGGCAUCAAACUGAGCUAUGAUCCCAGCACUUUGUUAAUUAUUUAUUUAUUACUUAUUUAUUUUGAGGCAGAAUCUGGCCUGUUCAGGCCGGGCUGCGAUUUGCAAUCCUCCUGCCUCAGCUUCCCAGCAUGCUGGGAUGACAGGCGUGCAUGACCAAGUCCAGAUUAAAAUAUUUUUAUAACAAAUUUCUUUCUCGUAUGUGUGCAGCUCUUUGAGAAAUUUGGAGACACCUGCUGCCCCUUAAGCUCAGAGAUUUUCAGACCUUCUGGGCCUUUUCUUGUUGGCACCCUCUGGCUAACUUUGCCAGUGUAUUGGUUUCAACUCCAGGCUGCUUUCUGGGACAGUGGCUAUAUUUGGGCUCCAAGAGUACAGACCCACAGCCCGGGUAGCUGACACAGCAGAGCUCGGUGGCCCAGUCCUGGAGGCUGAGGUCCACUGCACUGGUCUCUCCCUAUCUUAGUCCAUGGGGGCCGCCAUAUGCAAUCCCACAGCCCGGG